AUCCGCGUUGGCGGUGCGCGUGCCCCAGAGUUGGCCACAAGUCAUACCCGCGAGCAAAAGACCGCGGACGAGGCCUCUCGGUAGAUGGAGCUCGAAUCGCUUGGCGAGAUGCGGCAUCGCCGAGAUCGUCGCCUGUUCCGGGCGCUCGCCUCCGUACAGACUGCCACUGGUGUGUCCAGGCUCGACAACGUGCAGGUUUUCGAGAACGUCUGGGAGUCGUCGGUACAAGGACAGUAGCCGUUGCUGUUCUGCAUUCGUUACCGUGACCGACGACGUGCGGUACUCCUGCCGCUCAAAUGGCGUGGUGGUCUCCACCGAAAUCACAUUGCCAUACCGGUCGAAUGCGGCAACCGUCUUCGGUCGUGUGUGCUCCAGCACCUGCUCCGUUCCGUCGUCAUCCCUGCCACCUGGCUGAUCACCAGCGACAUGGGCAGGGCGUAGACGCACGGGCACCAGCGACUGGAGCUCUAGUUCCAGACGGCGCCAGUCAGUCUCGGGAAGCGCGGGCCACAGCCAAGGUGUCGCGGAGCCCGCGCUCUCCUCGUCCGCCGACCGCUGAGGCCACACCAGCUGCAGGACACGCUCUGGCGCCCGGUCCAAGGCGUGGAGCAGGAGCAGGAAGCGCGCCGACGCGAUCCACACGGGCACAUGCUCAAGCCAAUCCGCGUAGCCACUCCAGAUCGAAAGCUCGCUGGAGCGCGCAGUCUGAGUACGGUCGCGGAUCUCCGGCAGCGCCAUUAGCGCCUGCAGCGGCAUGGCCGCCGCACCGGCACGCACAGGAAUUUUGGCAUACUCGGUGCCUGCCAAGAGCGUCUUCAACGGGUCCAUGGAUGCGGUUUGUGCGAGCACGAUGCCCCGCGGUAGCUCUUCAGUUGGCUGUGAACGGAGCAUGGUUAAAACGUGCUCAGCGCAUUUCCACUUGGCGAGUUGCGCUCGCCGGGUUUGGCCAGCCCACGUAGUCCGAUGGACAAUCUUCACAAACAGUCGCCCUGUCGACGUCUCCCAUAUCCAGAUAACACCGUUCGCAUGUGGCCUGUACGCAGUGCGAUCAUCCACGAUCCAGAGGCGUUGCCGCCACAAGUCGCCGCCGCACCCCACGAGCAGAGGUAUCGUAUCGGAAGCCGAUGUCGUAGUCGUCGCCGCCUGCAGCGUCUCGCUUUCCACCGUCUCCAUGACGUAGAGCUGAAGCGCUUUGCGAAUGCGUUCACGAAGGAGCGCGAGUGCCUGGUUAUGCAUAAGCAUCCGGCGCGAUUCCUCGGUCACGAUCGACACGACGCCCAUGGCGCAGGCGUGCCCAAAAGCAGACCACUCGCCGUAGGCUAGAUCAAAGACCACGACCAGUCCAUGGUGAGACGGGUACAGACUCGACGCUCCCGGUGCUGUAUACGCCCGAAAUUUUUGCGCUGCGUAUUGCGCGGCAUCAUGGUCGUCGUAGUCGCCCCAACGGAGCUGGACAUCAAUCCAAUAGAUUUUGGCUGCCGCGUCGCUACCUGGCGGCCGCAGCGACGAUCGCCCUUGACCGCCCGCAUUGGAUUCGAAGGCGACGGCCUCGUCCACGGGCAAGGCGUCACCGGACACGAGAAUCGGUUGCUCGAAAUCGAUUCUAAUAUCCGCGCUGCUCCAGUGCAUGCGAUAAGACUUGCGCGGAUGGAUUCGUUCCUUCUGCACCGUGACCGCAACACGCGCCUCGCGCGAGCGCGCCCCCAGCUCUGUAUCCAAUGCUUUGCACAAAUCAAGUACCAGACUUUCAUGAAUACGCUGCCAGAGAUGGCCUCGGAACACCUGCAAAAGGC
Cyanidioschyzon merolae strain 10D is the source of this 1793-nucleotide RNA transcript. RefSeq lists it as hypothetical. The record is from RefSeq and is a predicted model, not a curated record. NCBI's taxonomy places the organism in Eukaryota, Rhodophyta, Bangiophyceae, Cyanidiales, Cyanidiaceae. The transcript has a single exon.